This 225-nucleotide long non-coding RNA is filed under the name Elaeis guineensis (African oil palm). RNAcentral describes it as "long non-coding RNA (EGUI_LNC068742)". Lineage: Eukaryota; Viridiplantae; Streptophyta; Magnoliopsida; Arecales; Arecaceae. The record is from RNAcentral.
UUGAUGCAGUUCAACAGGUAGAAGGACUGACACCAAUAGCUGAACCUGAGUCGGAUAUGAUUAGAUCAGAUCCGAAGCCCAAUGUACCUGCACCAUUAAGAUGAUCCGAUAGAGUACCGCAUCAGUCGGACAGAUACUAUGAUUUCUUGGUCUGGGAUGGUGAUCCCAUCAAACUUGAUGAGAAUAAUGAGGAUCCGAUCACCUAUAUGGAUGCAAUGCAGAGAC